RNAcentral lists this long non-coding RNA (961 nucleotides) under Citrus sinensis (sweet orange). RNAcentral's name for it is "long non-coding RNA (CSIN_LNC005091)". Lineage: Eukaryota; Viridiplantae; Streptophyta; Magnoliopsida; Sapindales; Rutaceae. The record is from RNAcentral.
UGCAUUCCCUUCUAUUCUAAGUCAUAAUAACAAGAGUAGAAAACCCCUUAAGUUAGAAAGGUUUAGAGAAGUCAAGAUCAAGAGGUAAUUAACACUUCAACUGUAAUGUAAGGACAAAAUUAUUUUUAUACUUAAGUUCAGUUUUAACAAUCCCUUUAUAUUAUGAUGGCUAUUAUAGUGUGAUUAGUUAUAUUCUAAAUCUUUAUAUGGUCGGCCCUGCCGCCUAAUAUAUGAUGUUAUGGUCGGCUCUGCCGCCUAAUAUGUGAUGUCAUGGUCGGCUCUGCCGCCUAAUAUGUGAUGCUAUGGCCGGCUCUGCCACCUAAUAUGUGAUACUUGUACUUAAUUAUCCUAUGGUCAGCUAUGCAGCCUAUACUGAAAACUCUUGUUUUUAAAUAAUGUUGUGUGUUGAUUUUGUUAUGCAUUGAGGAAUUUCAAAUUGGAUGCAUGCAUAUCAUGGACUAUACUAUGAAGAAGACGUUUAGCCCCCAAAGCUAAGUUGAAAGAAAUCUUUUGGGGACGGCGAUACGUAACGCCCAAAAGAUCAACUAAUGAGGCCCAAGGGCAUGGCAUAUUGUUUAAAGAGUAAAAGUGUCAGCCUUGUAGUGCAACAUACCUAGGGCCCAAAUAAAGUUGUUUUGUAUUUUCUAAAUUUAUUUUAAGAGCUUAAUAUGGUCAUCCAUAUGCAUCAUAAUUUAUACAUGCAUCAAAGUGUUAUCUUACUAGGCAUUAGUUCACUAAGUCCUUACAUUGUAGGUAACGAUGAGUAGGGCAAGCUGGCGCCAAGUCCUAACGAAGACGAAGUGCAUAUGGGCAUAACUGACCUUGGGAUUUUAUGAUGGGCUUAGCUUUGUGUUAAUAAAAAUAAGUAUUUUGGAUUUAUGUAAUAAUUAAGUUUUUAAAUAAACAAAAAAAUCUCUAUAUGACUCUUACUUUUCUGUAACAAAGUGUUGUUCGAUUAUGC